CGCACUCUUGGCUCUGGCGGUGACCUUGAUUGGCGGAAAUCCUAUCAAUGAAACGACAUCGAGCGAAGAAAUCAGCGAAGGCCCUCAGCCGGUGACAGAAGGAGGCCCCACGACCUCGACAUCCUCAAAGCCGUUCGAGAAGGAUUUUAAAGAAAUGAAGAAAAAAGGAGAUAAGUGGUUAAUGCCCAGCGCACCUACGGGAAGUGGAGACCUAAAGGACCUUUUGGAUAUUACGGUUUCUUUGAGGGUGAUAAAAAGUUCUUGGGCAAGCUUUGCAAGAAGAAGCGGAGAGAGACGCAGCCAUGGCAAGCGUCCCCAAUGCUUCAGCUGCCGAUCCAAGAGCUCUACAGCACGUGUUUCCAGCUGGGAUGAACUUCCGACAGCUGCUAACGGUGCCAUGGCGACACCUUUUGUGCGCUGAUUGACAGGCAGAAAGAUUCUCACGAGAUUAUAUGGCUUGGCAGUUAGGAGUUUUUUUUUUUUCUUUUUUUUGUGAGGACUUAAUAGUUUAAAGGAGUUUGAUAGUCAAAGGGGAUAUUAAAUGUUUUUGGUGUGAUGAGAUUUUAAUGUAUAUGCUUGACUUUAACGGAAGUUGUUUCUUGUGCAAUAAAGAAGGAUUAAUGUAUUUUUUAUGUAAUAAUAGCCGAGCUCGCAAUUAA
This is a long non-coding RNA of Penaeus monodon (black tiger shrimp), 659 nucleotides long. RefSeq lists it as uncharacterized. Lineage: Eukaryota; Metazoa; Arthropoda; Malacostraca; Decapoda; Penaeidae. The transcript is spliced from 2 exons. The record is from RefSeq and is a predicted model, not a curated record.